RNAcentral lists this ribosomal RNA (477 nucleotides) under uncultured Glomus. RNAcentral describes it as "SSU rRNA". It matches the Rfam family "Eukaryotic small subunit ribosomal RNA", at positions 569 to 1045 of the family's 1831-position model. RNAcentral also lists the same sequence under 1 other name. The record is from RNAcentral. Lineage: Eukaryota; Fungi; Glomeromycota; Glomeromycetes; Glomerales; Glomeraceae.
AGCAGCCGCGGUAAUUCCAGCUCCAAUAGCGUAUAUUAAAGUUGUUGCAGUUAAAAAGCUCGUAGUUGAAUUUCGGGAUUGACACAUCGGUCGUGCCUUAAGGGGUAUGAACUGGUGUAGUCAAUUUCUCACCUUCUGGAGAACCGCGAUGCCCUUAAUUGGGUGUCGCGGGGAACCAGGACCUUUACUUUGAAAAAUUAGAGUGUUUAAAGCAGGCAUUUUGCUUGAAUACAUUAGCAUGGAAUAAUAAAAUAGGACGGCAUGAUUCUAUUUUGUUGGUUUCUAGGAUCACCGUAAUGAUUAAUAGGGAUAGUUGGGGGCAUUAGUAUUCAAUUGUCAGAGGUGAAAUUCUUGGAUUUAUUGAAGACUAACUACUGCGAAAGCAUUUGCCAAGGAUGUUUUCAUUAAUCAAGAACGAAAGUUAGGGGAUCGAAGACGAUCAGAUACCGUCGUAGUCUUAACCAUAAACUAUGCCGA